UUCGUGAAUGAGUGAAUCAGCUGAGGGAUAUUUAUGACUUUGGCUUGUGUCUCGGCUAUUGAGAGUGACUAUGUGUGAGUGAAGAAGUGGGAGCAGGGGCAGCCACAUGGGUCCAGCUCUGCAGCUGACCCACCAGCCAAUGCCAGAGGAGGGGACAGGAGGAGAGAGGAGGAGCAGAGUGGGUUGGACCAGGUCGACCCAGAAGUCUCAAAAGGCUGGAAAAUUUCAGGGCGUUUGUCAUCCCAGGGCCGCCUAGUGGGCAGGGAAGUCUUCCACUCUGUGAUCUCGGUCUCACUCAUACCGGAGCCUGCAGCGGCCCUGUUGCGGUCUCAGUCUUCAGCCCGACAUCAUGGGGGCGCCAAAGCACAGGGGCUCAAAAUGGUGAGGCCGGGGAACCGGGCGCUCCCAUCUCUGUCUACGUAGAUACCUAGUCAAACCGAAGGGGGAAGCUUCCUAGCAUCCUUAAGCCCUCCUUUCCAUCCGGUCUGCAUUUCCACUUUUCAUUGCAAUCUGCUUCUCUUCUGCACCGCCCCCUCUCCUCCCCCACCCUUCUCCCGUCCCUUUUCCUCCCCACCCCACCCCUGCCCCCGCUUCUUUCUCCUCUUCUUUCUUCCUCUCUACCCUCUGGCCUGGGGACACCGGUGCUGGAGAAGACCCUGGGAACGGGCAGAAUCUGAGCCGCGUCUCUGAGUCGCAGUGGGAAGGCGGCUCAGGAAAUGCGCCCUCCGCUGGCGCUGGGUCGCGGUUCUGGCUGCGUUACUUUUUCCUUGCAUCUGUGGCCCGGCGCGCCAGCCUGGACACUAGAUCCGCAAGAAGGGAGUUUUCCCAGGGCCGGCUGAAGAAUGAGAAGUCCGAGCUGCGGGGACGUUGGGGGUCUGUGCUUAGCGGCCACAGCCUGCCCACCACGGGUUCCCGCCACCCCGCCUCCCCACCUCCCUUCGCGCCAGGGCUGAAAGUCCCAGGCGCCCAAUGCGUGCCCAAGAACGAGCCGUGAACCUUUUAUCUACCCGUCCCCUUCCCCGCCAUGGACCCAGGACGACACCCCACACCCAGACACCACUCUUUCCAGGGGCAGAUGCUCCGGCGCGCCCCGCGCCCUGAAGUUCAACUUGGAAUCCAGGUCCGCGCGGGACCCCGCCUAGCGCCCCAAGCGCACAGGCUGAGCGCCCCGCCCUGGCCUCCUGGGCCUGCGGCCUCAGCGCGAGAGCCCUGGCCCCCUUCCCGCCGCGGGUCGCGGUCGGGAAAGCGCGCCCUGCAAGGGGGUUUUGUAGAUAAACAAAAGCGUUUGCUCUUCUGGUUUUCUUUUAUUUUCUUUAUUCGCCUGUCCCUUCCUUCUUAAUCUCCCUCUUCGCUCUUGUUUCUUUAACUUAUUUCCCUUCCUCAUUUUCCCUUUCUUUUCGUUCGCUUUUCCUUGUCACUCUCCUUCUUGUUCUCUUCUGUCUCUUUCUGUAUCUCCCUCUUCCAUUUUGGCCCCUUCUCUGCCUCUGGGUUUCCCUUUCCCGGGCCCCUCACUCUUCCUGGGCUAGGAUUGCGCCGUCUCCCUGCAUCAUUUUUCCUGGCUCCGCUGCCUCUUUCUCACUUUUUCGUUCUCCCGGCGGCCACCGUCUGGCGGGCUUGGGUCCGGCUCCCCCGCCGCCGCAGUGAUUUAUUCGCUUCACCCGGCGGAAUCAGUGGACUCAGAUUAGCACGCAAACAGUGAGAUGCUCGGCUUGAGUCUACGCGCGGGCGAAGAUGCCUCUGUCGCCUCAAACAGUGUCCUUCGCGACGGCGGAAAACUACAGCCCGCCCCCGCUCCCGUGCCUGCUCAGGAAGCCGUGACCAAGCCAGUGCCCGCCGGUGCCCGGAGUGAAGGUGGAAAAAGCCGAGUGCUCCUGCUCGGGGGCGGGGUUGAGAGGGGGAGAUUAAUCCGGGCAAGCCAAGGGGACCUUAGACUUGCAGCCAGGGCCGCCACCCGAGGAGCCCGCAUGCAGGGACGCGCCUGAAGGCUUAGUCAAACCCGGGGAAAUGCCCUCCCCCGCCUGCAGAAUCCCCACGCCGUCUCUUACUUCCUCCCUCUUUGCCACUGGCGAGCUUACACGUGCACACACACACACCCCUCUCUGUCUGUGACCGCAACAAACUUUGUGAAACUUGAACCGCUGGGUGCAAAGUUCACGCCCUUUUCUCCUUUCCUCUCUUGCCUGGGCCGGCUCCUCCUGGAGCAGGGAGGGAAGAAGUUCUUGGCCUCCAGACCUGGGAGAGGAGUUUCCGAAAGUCAGGGCCUCGCCUCGCUGUGACAUUAGACCCUUGCCACCCACCAGACCGAUGGACACUAAACACUUUCCUUGUCGGAAGGCGCUAGUAGUUGCAGCGGCCAGGCUUGGCAGGGCCCUGGUCGACCACCCCACCACUGCCCUGGCCGGACUUUCCCAGGGCGUUGGUCUCCUGGUCCCUAUUAAGUCGGGGCUGUCCUGGGCUUGGAGCCCAGGUUCAGGGCUGUCAGCCCCUUGCCAGCUGUCUGAGCUCUCUGCCUUUCUAGUUUAUUUUCCCCCAGCUCUUGCCCUGGGUUAGCUCUCUCCCAGCCCUCCACUCUGUCUCUGUCUCCGACUCCAUCUCUGGCAGGGCUGCCACUGUCUCUCUGUCUCUCUGUCUCUCCCUGUCUCUCUGUCUCUGUCUCUCUUGUUUGUUUCAAGGCGCGGACACUGAUUGUGCCUUAUGAAGUUCUAACUGGUUUUGUGUCAGGAAGAUCUUUCUCGCCGCUACCCAGCCUGGCGUGACGGAUUAAACAUCAACUAGUUAAAUAAAAAUUAAUAUCAACUGCCUCCUAACUUCUAAUGUCAUGUUGUUUAUAACUAAUGAACUGAUUAGGGGAUAAACAUAUCACGAAGACAUUCCACUCUCCUGCCUCGGCUCCGCUGCCGCCUGGUACCCACUCCCCAGCAUGGCCUGCGGGUUGCCAGGCCAGAAGGAGUUGGGGGAGGGGGUUGCUGGAGGCGGAACAGGCUGGAGGGCCUGAGGGCUCCCUGGGGCUUGCUCCUCUUCCUGCCUUGAUCUCUUUACUCCCUUUCUCUCUUGUCUUUCCUUCUCAUUUCCUUCCUCUGUACAUUUCCUCUUCUCAGUCUCUCUUGUUCCCUUCUUUCCUUAUUUCUGUCUCCCUCUCUCCUUUUUUCCUCCUUUCCUCCCAUCCAUUCCUGUCCUCCUCUGCCCUGUGCUUCUCCGCCUCUGUCUCUGGUAGUGUUUCUCUCUCUCUGCCAGUCUGGGCCCUGAACCCUUCCCUCUCUGGUUCUCCUCUCUUCCUCCCUCUAUUGGAGUUUCUGCCUCUCUCUUCCCCCUUGUUCCCCAUCAUUCGGAUUCAUUCCUCCCUAGCCAGUGCAAAGCAUAAUGAUGACCAGUCCUUGUGACUAGGCCUCUGCCCUGCUACAAAGCAGGAGGCUGCAACCUCUCCCUCAGCACCUUGGUGGAGACUGAUGCUCCUCCCUGCUCCCCAGCUAUUUAGGGGAGAAGGGAAGGAACUAGAAGACGUGAGGGUCCUGUUUUUUAUUUCUCCUCUAUUUGAUCUGGAACAGGAGUGAGGAAAUAAAAAAUGAUUUUUUGAAAACUUUUGCUUUUCAUCUUGUCCCAGA
This 3602-nucleotide long non-coding RNA is filed under the name Homo sapiens (human). RNAcentral describes it as "HSALNT0167129". The record is from RNAcentral. Lineage: Eukaryota; Metazoa; Chordata; Mammalia; Primates; Hominidae.